Molecule: transfer RNA, 69 nt
Filed under: Ictidomys tridecemlineatus (thirteen-lined ground squirrel)
Lineage: Eukaryota; Metazoa; Chordata; Mammalia; Rodentia; Sciuridae
Description: Spermophilus tridecemlineatus (thirteen-lined ground squirrel) tRNA
Rfam family: tRNA
About the family: Transfer RNA (tRNA) molecules are approximately 80 nucleotides in length. Their secondary structure includes four short double-helical elements and three loops (D, anti-codon, and T loops). Further hydrogen bonds mediate the characteristic L-shaped molecular structure. tRNAs have two regions of fundamental functional importance: the anti-codon, which is responsible for specific mRNA codon recognition, and the 3' end, to which the tRNAs corresponding amino acid is attached (by aminoacyl-tRNA synthetases). tRNAs cope with the degeneracy of the genetic code in two manners: having more than one tRNA (with a specific anti-codon) for a particular amino acid; and 'wobble' base-pairing, i.e. permitting non-standard base-pairing at the 3rd anti-codon position.
Source: Rfam by way of RNAcentral
GGAGUUGUGGCUCACAGGUAGAGCACUCACCUAGCAUGUGUGAGGCACUGGAUUCAAUCCUCAGCACCA